Molecule: ribosomal RNA, 467 nt
Filed under: uncultured bacterium
Lineage: Bacteria
Description: partial 16S ribosomal RNA
Rfam family: Bacterial small subunit ribosomal RNA
Source: RNAcentral
ACGAACGCUGGCGGCGUGCUUAACACCUGCAAGUCGAACGGAAAGGCCCUGCUUUUGUGGGGUGCUCGCGUGGCGAACGGGUGAGUAACACGUGAGUAACCUGCCCUUGACUUUGGGAUAACUUCAGGAAACUGGGGCUAAUACCGGAUAGGAGCUCCUGCUGCAUGGUGGGGGUUGGAAAGUUUCGGCGGUUGGGGAUGGACUCGCGGCUUAUCAGCUUGUUGGUGGGGUAGUGGCUUACCAAGGCUUUGACGGGUAGCCGGCCUGAGAGGGUGACCGGCCACAUUGGGACUGAGAUACGGCCCAGACUCCUACGGGAGGCAGCAGUGGGGAAUAUUGCACAAUGGGCGGAAGCCUGAUGCAGCAACGCCGCGUGCGGGAUGACGGCCUUCGGGUUGUAAACCGCUUUCGCCUGCGACGAAGCGUGAGUGACGGUAAUGGGUAAAGAAGCACCGGCUAACUACGUG